Long non-coding RNA from Toxorhynchites rutilus septentrionalis, 443 nucleotides. RefSeq lists it as uncharacterized. The record is from RefSeq and is a predicted model, not a curated record. Lineage: Eukaryota; Metazoa; Arthropoda; Insecta; Diptera; Culicidae. The transcript is spliced from 2 exons.
CCAAAAUUCGAGCAUUCACGAGAGCAACAGAACGCGUCCAGCAUGAAGCAGUGGCUAACAUUAUUCGGUUUCAUUCUCAUCCUUACACAAACAGUGUCUAUACCAUUGAAGGACGAGCUGUCGAUCGAUGGCGGAUCGAAAGGAAGCAAAAAAAUACUGCUACUCCAGUUAUCUAAACCAGAAAAUGAUGGAACAACCAGCAAACGCGUAGCUCGUCAAGGGUUUGCAGCUGAUUUUAAUUAUGACUUUGAUUUCGGCCAUUUCCUGAAUAAUUUGGAAAGAGCAAAUGACCUCAUGGAUAAAAUGUUGAGUAAAUGAUCACAUUUCACUUUUAAACUGAAAAUUAGUUACCUUCGCUGUUUUAUGUUACGAGAAGUAAUAUAUUUUUUUGUUGUAAAUAAAUAUCAAUAUGAAAAAGGACAUAUAAACAUAUAACGAACACA